UUUUUCUUUUUUUUUUUUUUCUUUGUAUUUUCUAGGGCUGCACCUGUGGCAUAUGGAGGUUCCCAGGCUAGGGGUCUAAUUUGGAGCUGUAGCCGCCGGCCUAUGCCAGAGUCACAGCAAUGCGGGAUCUGAGCCGCGUCUGAAACCUACACCACAGCUCAUGGCAACGCCGGAUCCUUAACCCACUGAGUGAGGCCAGGGAUCGAACCCACAACCUCAAGGUUCCUAGCCGGAUUUGUUAAUCACUAAGCCACGACAGGAACUCCCAUUUAACAAUUUGCGAUUAAGCACCUGGUAUAUACCAUGGUUCUAGGUACCAGAGAUACACUAAUGCACAAAAGAACACUGUGUGCUACCUUGGUGGUUCCGUUCUAUCAAGAGAAAAUAGACCAUAAACAAAUAAAGCUGUCCAUAAAACCAUCCCUGCUCAUUCUGGCCCAAAGUCAUUUUUCUGUCCUCUUAAGAGUGAUGGAGUACAACACACAUUUGGGAACUAGACGACACAGAGUGGAGGCAUAUCACAUACACACUGAUGGUAAGUGAGCCUGGCUGGAAGUCCCACAGCGCUUCCAUUAGAGAAAUGAUGGGGCCGAUCAGUCUGAAAGAGGCCAUUCGUGUUGCAACAUCUCAGUAAUUUUAGGGCUUCUUCUGGCUUUUGGUAAAGAAGUAAAAUAUUGUCUAUAUUUUUUGGACAAUUUAAGAAAUGAUCAAAAUAAUUUUGACUAUUCCUUUUUUUUCACGUUAUGCAAUAAAUUUAAGACCUAAUUUAUUUCCCAUCCCUGCUUCUUCCCAAGUAGACACUACUGUAUUUUUCAUUAUUUUUCUCUAAUUGAAAAACUACUUAGGUAAGGGAGUUCCCAUCGUGGCUCAGUGGUUAACGAACCCAACUAGCAUUUAUGAGGAUGAGGGUUCGAUCCCUGGCCCAGGAACUUCCAUAUACUGCCUGUGUGGCAUGCGUGCACACUUACACACACACACACAAGAGAACCUGAAAUAAACAUUGCAACUCUCAUUAAAAAAAAAAAAGAAUUCUACUUCUUGCCAGACAAAGAGGGGAAACCCUUAAGGUACCUUGAACUUAAGAGUCCAUCCUCAGUGUACUUUUUUUGGCUUUUUAGGGCCACACUUGAGGCAUAUGGAAGUUCUCAGGCUAGGGGGCGAAUCGGAGCUGCAACUGCUGGCCUCCACCACAGCCACAGCUACAUGGGAUCCAAGCCACAUCUGCGACCUACACCAGAGCUCACGGCAACACCAGAUCCCCCAACCCACUAAGGGGGGCCAAGAAUGGAACCUGUGUCCUCAUGGAUCCUAGUCGGGUUCCUUACUGGUGAGCACGAUGGGAACUCCGGGUACUCUUUCAGUACAUAAUACCCAACACUUUACUCUUUACUGUCUGCCUCCCAUCUAGGAUUCGAACUCCACAGGACAAGGAACUACCAAAGAAGAUAAUAUUUCUUACAAACUCUAAGUGUGGUUACAUAGAGGAUGGUAUUCUUUUUCCCCCAGCUUCUAUCUCUUAAUUACUAGGGUGCCAGCUUAGAAUUGAAAUACAUCUUUCCCUUUGGUAGAAAAAAAAUUUUAAGUAGAUGUACCUCUCUCAAGUUGGCUUAAGGACCAAACUGAGCUCCUGGAUUUCUCAAGAGCUCCCUUCACACAGAAUAAGGCGCCAAACCAAUAACACAGCUGGUCUUGCUUACAUUUCAGAUAACGUCAAAACUCUCAGCCCCCUUCCUUCCUGGGUCCCAAGGACCACUCUUGGAUCCAAACCGAUAAACAAACAAAAAUAGAGACAAAACACAUACAAAGGUCACAAUUUGGUAUCUGCUUAAGAGUCAGGUAAUUCAAUAUAAACCAAAGCCAAACUAAACAAAAACCCUGUUAGGAAAAACCAUGAAAAAUUUAGAAAUAAGGAUAACUUCAUGCCCUUUCGAUAUUACACUGGAUUGGAGUUCUCACAGUGGCUCAGCACUAACAAACCCAACUAGAUCCAUGAGGACUCAGGUUCAAUCCCUGGCCUCACUUAGUGGGUUCAGGAUCCAGGUGCUGGAUUGCGUUGCCAGUCACAGAUGUGGCUCAGAUCCCAAGUUGCUGUGGCUGUGGUCUAGGCCGGCACCUGUGGCUCCAAUUUGACCCCUAACCUGGGACCUACCAUAUGCCGCAGGUGCGGCCCUAAAAAGACAAAAUAUAUAUACAUCAAUCACACUGGAUCAUGGCCUAACAGGCCCACCCAAGGAUUAUUUAGUAGUGCAAGAUAAGGCCCCUUUGUUUGGCUUACCAUUUAUUAUCCGUCAGGGUCCAGACUGCUGUUACCUGCUAAUUGGUAGAUUUUUGUCAUUUGAUGCAAAUGAAUUUUCUGUGGUAGAAAGAUAACCCCAAAGAUUACACUUUCACUGCCCUAUACAAUCAUAACCAGCAUCCAGUCUUACAACCUUACGUCAGCCUUCUGGAAGUGUUCCCAUGUACUGAAUCUGGAAUUUGGGGCAAAUCGGCUUUACCCUGCUGUUGACGGCCACACCCAUGAGGGAGGCCAAGGCACGCAGGCCAUGUGCUCAUUUUGUAGGAGAAUCUUAUUUUCAUGGCUACAGAAUACAGGAAAGGGAAACUGUCACUGUCUGAUCCAGGGCAACAAAAGACUGUGAAUCAACUGCAUUAUCCAUUCUUCAGCCAGCUGACUAUUGAUCCUCUAGUGCUACUGCUGAAUUAUUUACUUAAAAAAUCUAGUAAUUACAAAGUAUCAGGUGACUGUUUGUAUUCUUUAGUGCACACUAUUUUAUCCCUAAAGUGCACAUUAAUAUUUUAUGAUUAGAGUGGCCAGAAGAUAAAGUAUAUACUAAAUGCCGCGUCUACCUGUGCUUUCCUCUUAAUGCAGCUUUACGCUGUAUUUACGCUGGACCUACUGAGGACUACUGCAUUUUCUCUUUUAAAACCACCUGGAUUUUUGGGAG
RNAcentral lists this long non-coding RNA (2945 nucleotides) under Sus scrofa (pig). RNAcentral describes it as "lncRNA (ENSSSCG00060016727.1)". Lineage: Eukaryota; Metazoa; Chordata; Mammalia; Artiodactyla; Suidae. The record is from RNAcentral.